GGAGCGAUGUCAGAGUGGUCGAAUGAGGCGGUCUUGAAAACCGUUGAGCCGCGAGGUUCCGGGGGUUCGAAUCCCCCUUGCUCCG
RNAcentral lists this transfer RNA (85 nucleotides) under Treponema sp. CETP13. Its description in RNAcentral is "tRNA-Ser". It matches the Rfam family "tRNA". Rfam says of the family: Transfer RNA (tRNA) molecules are approximately 80 nucleotides in length. Their secondary structure includes four short double-helical elements and three loops (D, anti-codon, and T loops). Further hydrogen bonds mediate the characteristic L-shaped molecular structure. tRNAs have two regions of fundamental functional importance: the anti-codon, which is responsible for specific mRNA codon recognition, and the 3' end, to which the tRNAs corresponding amino acid is attached (by aminoacyl-tRNA synthetases). tRNAs cope with the degeneracy of the genetic code in two manners: having more than one tRNA (with a specific anti-codon) for a particular amino acid; and 'wobble' base-pairing, i.e. permitting non-standard base-pairing at the 3rd anti-codon position. Lineage: Bacteria; Pseudomonadati; Spirochaetota; Spirochaetia; Treponematales; Treponemataceae. The record is from RNAcentral.